AUGUUGCGUGUGGUAAGCUGGAACAUCAAUGGGAUCCGGAGACCCCUGCAAGGUCUGGGAUGCAAGAUACCCAGCAGCUGUCCCACGGCCUUGAGACACAUUUUAGAGGAACUGGAUGCUGAUAUUGUCUGUCUCCAGGAGACCAAAGUGAACAGAGAUGCGCUGACGGAGCCCCUGGCUUUUGUUGAGGGCUAUAACUCCUAUUUCAGUUUCAGCCGCAGCCGGAGUGGCUAUUCUGGUGUAGCUACUUUCUGUAAGCACAGUGCUACACCAGUGGCUGCCGAAGAAGGCCUGAGUGGUCAGUUUGCCACCCUGGACGGACAUGUCGGUUGCUAUGGAAACAUGAACGAGUUCACCCAAGAGCAGCUCCGGGCUCUGGAUAGCGAGGGUCGGGCUGUCCUUACACAGCACAAGAUCUGCACACAGGAAGGGAAGGAGAAACCUUUGACCCUGAUCAAUGUGUACUGCCCGCAUGCCAAUCCUGGGAACCCUGAGCGGCUGACCUUUAAGAUGCUUUUCUAUCGCUUGCUGCAGAUCCGAGCAGAAGCACUCCUGGCAGCCGGCAGUCAUGUGAUAAUCCUGGGGGACAUGAAUACAGCCCACCGUCCCAUUGACCACUGUGAUGCUGGCAGUCUGGAGUGCUUUGAAGAAGACCUGGGACGUAAGUGGAUGGAUGACUUGCUUAGUAACAGGGAAUACCAGGCUGGGUCCCAUAUAGGGCUUUUCAUGGAUAGCUACCGCUAUUUGUAUCCAAAACAGGAGAGGGCCUUCACCUGCUGGUCAGUCAUCAAUGAUGCCCGCAGUCUCAACUAUGGUACCCGACUUGACUACGUACUAGGAGACAGGACUCUAAUUAUAGACACUUUACAAGAUGCCUUCCUGCUUCCUGAGGUGAUGGGCUCUGACCACUGCCCUGUGGGAGCUGUCUUGAAUGUGUCCUGUGUGCCAGCGAUACAGUGCCCAGCUCUGUGCACCCGUUUCCUCCCCAAGUUUGCAGGUACCCAGCUCAAGAUUCUUGGCUUCCUAGUCCCUAUGUGGGGGCAGUCUGUCCUGCAGCCCAGCAAACAAGUCCAGCUACAGAAACAGCAAAAAGCCCAAGCCUACAGGUACUCAUUCAGGCCUCCAAAGCAUCAAGGUGGUUCCAGAAGACGCCAGAAAAACCUGAAGAGUUAUUUUCAGCCUUCUGUUAGCCUUUCCCAGAAUUCUCCUGAUGUGGAACUACCUAAGCUGCCUCCGGUGGGCACUCUUGUACCUCCAACGACUCUGGAAGGGGAUGUGAUAGCUACAAGGACCGAUAAACAAGCCAACGUUUCUAAUGUCAGAAAUGUGGAGGCACAGACCUCGUUCUGGAAAUCUGUGCUGAGUGGGCCCUCACCCAUGCCCCUCUGCAGAGGCCACAGGGAGCCGUGUGUGAUGCGGAUUGUGAAGAAACCAGGACCUAACCUGGGCCGCCAUUUCUACAUAUGUGCCAAGCCACAAGGUCCUCCAAAUGAUCCCUCAUCAAGCUGCAACUUCUUCCUGUGGAGCAAGCCCAGAUGA
This is an RNA transcript of Grammomys surdaster, 1539 nucleotides long. It is a transcript of the gene named DNA-(apurinic or apyrimidinic site) lyase 2 pseudogene, with no coding region annotated. The transcript has a single exon. The record is from RefSeq and is a predicted model, not a curated record. NCBI's taxonomy places the organism in Eukaryota, Metazoa, Chordata, Mammalia, Rodentia, Muridae.